UACGGAGGGUGCAAGCGUUAUCCGGAUUCACUGGGUUUAAAGGGUGCGUAGGCGGAUAUGUAAGUCCGUGGUGAAAUCUCUGGGCUUAACCCGGGAACUGCCAUGGAUACUAUGUGUCUUGAAUGUUGUUGAGGUGAGCGGAAUAUGUCAUGUAGCGGUGAAAUGCUUAGAUAUGACAUAGAACACCAAUUGCGAAGGCAGCUCACUAAGCAAAUAUUGACGCUGAGGCACGAAAGCGUGGGGAUCAAACAGG
Molecule: ribosomal RNA, 253 nt
Filed under: uncultured bacterium
Lineage: Bacteria
Description: partial 16S ribosomal RNA
Rfam family: Bacterial small subunit ribosomal RNA
Source: RNAcentral